RNAcentral lists this ribosomal RNA (458 nucleotides) under uncultured bacterium. Its description in RNAcentral is "partial 16S ribosomal RNA". It matches the Rfam family "Bacterial small subunit ribosomal RNA", at positions 29 to 507 of the family's 1533-position model. The record is from RNAcentral.
AACGAACGCUGGCGGCAUGCCUAACACAUGCAAGUCGAACGAGACCUUCGGGUCUAGUGGCGCACGGGUGCGUAACGCGUGGGAACCUGCCCUUAGGUUCGGAAUAACUCCCCGAAAGGGGUGCUAAUACCGGAUAAUGUCUUCGGACCAAAGAUUUAUCGCCUUUGGAUGGGCCCGCGUUGGAUUAGCUAGUUGGUAGGGUAAAAGCCUACCAAGGCGACGAUCCAUAGCUGGUCUGAGAGGAUGAUCAGCCACACUGGGACUGAGACACGGCCCAGACUCCGGGGGGAGGAAGCGGCCGGGAAUCUUCCGGAAGGGGCGAGAGGGUGAUGGAGCAAAGGGGCGGGAGGGAUGAACGUCCUCGGCCCGGAAAAUUAUGUGAGUAGGGGAGAACAAAAGUGUUAGUACCUGGGCACAUAUUGACGGUACCGAAUCAGAAAGCCACGGCUAACUACGUG